RNAcentral lists this long non-coding RNA (820 nucleotides) under Chrysolophus pictus (golden pheasant). RNAcentral's name for it is "lncRNA (ENSCPIG00010003385.1)". The record is from RNAcentral. Lineage: Eukaryota; Metazoa; Chordata; Aves; Galliformes; Phasianidae.
AUUACAACGUGUGAACAAUGGUCAAGUGUCUCACUUCUCCAUCCGCAGCCCUCCCAAAUGAAAGGGAUUACAAGUGUAUCAUUAAUAUCGUAGCAACCUGGCAGCAAGUCGACAGAUUUAAUUUGGUGACAAGAUGAGUGGCACCAGAAUUCUCCCAUCUCCCCAGAAAAUGAAAAAUAGAUUCUGCCUGCUACUAGUAAAUAUUGCUGGUGGGACCCCAUUGAAACCUUCUGGACAACUUCCUCUCCCACUCCAUCCAGCCCAGUGGCCCCACAGCAGGAGAAGGGAGCCAAGAAGAGGGAUAAGGGGUUGCAAACUCUGGAGGAGUAGGGGGUCUCCAUGGAGGCACAACCUAGAAGCACUCCAUCCCACCAGGGAAGGGCAGCAGUUGUUCCCAGCAUCGGGACAGGGCAUCUCUGGUGUUGCAGAAGGGAAACAUCCCAUUAGGGAAAUAAACUGCAAUCAGAAUCAAGUGGGAGGGACAAAAAACAGCACAAUAAUGGGAGUAAAAAAAGGGAGUUUUUCUCAGAGAGCCUUAACUUCAUAAUCAAGUAAGAGGACGUCUUUGGCCAGUUGCCCAUCCUCUUCAGCAGUGGAGGCUGCUAUUAGAAAUAGGAAAAGUGAUAUGUAACAAAAUGGAGUGGGGAAAUAGACAACCAUUGAUUUUGAAUUAGAUGUUAUGAAGUAUGAAAAAUUGAUACAAGGAACUACACUCAUCAGUUAAAAAUGCAUAAGUUAGUGAAUGUAUGACAGUGAGGAGGCAAUUGAAAUGCUCAGUGAGCAAAAUAAAAUGGUGCAGAGGUUUUUCUUCUAGAGAUGA